RNAcentral lists this signal recognition particle RNA (306 nucleotides) under Aotus nancymaae (Ma's night monkey). RNAcentral describes it as "Metazoan signal recognition particle RNA (ENSANAG00000002379.1)". It matches the Rfam family "Metazoan signal recognition particle RNA". Rfam says of the family: The signal recognition particle (SRP) is a universally conserved ribonucleoprotein. It is involved in the co-translational targeting of proteins to membranes. Lineage: Eukaryota; Metazoa; Chordata; Mammalia; Primates; Aotidae. The record is from Rfam by way of RNAcentral.
GCCAGUUGUGGUAUUACGUACGCCUGUAGUCCUGGCUUCUCAGAGGCUAAACAGGAAGGAUUGCUUGGAGCUUCCAGGAGUUCUAGGCUGGACUGUGCUUGUUCUGAUCCGGUGUCUUCACUAAACUCACAUCAAUAUGGUGACUCCAGGGAGCUGGGAACGCACCAGGUUUCCUAAGGACAGAUGUACUGUGGCAGGUCAGAAAUGAGCAGGUCAAAAACUCCCAUGCUGAUCAGUAAUGGACUCAGGCCUGCGAAUAGCCACUGCAUCUUCAAGCAAUAGCAACAUAGCAAGACCCCCGUCUCU